ACGCAGGCGCCGGACCUUCUUUCUGUGGCCUUUGUGCGACGGGAAGGGUUUUGCGCAUGCGCCGCAACCAUAGAGUUUGGCGAAGCGCUAGAGGGGCUAUCAGUUGCACCUUACCGGGUGGUUUGAGCUUAAGGUUUGCUCGACUAGGACCUACGGGAACUGCAGGUGGAUCUCAAAUCCUGGAUCUUGUUUAGCGCUUCUAGCCCAGAGACUUUUAAAUUGAAAAAACGUCCAAGAUACCUUUCUUUCACUAGAAUAUCAGCCGAUUAACAAAAAUGGCACGAAAAUCUCCUUAACACUGGACAUAAUGUUUUAGGGCUACAAAUAGGCUUCUUAUCACUUUCUUUCCGCUCUUCUGCUCUGGGGUGUCAUUUUUCUCCUGAAAAUUCAUAUUCCGCCAGGUCCUUUAAAAAGCCAGCAUCAUUCCAACUCUCAUCUGAAGCUCCGGCUGCCCUGCCUGCCAGUUUAGCAUCUGUCUCCGACCCUUCUGCUUCCUCAAAGGAGGGGCCAGACAGCGAUGCAAUUGUCUUGCAAUGACACCGCUACUGCAGAAAAUACUUAAUGGACUGAAAGGUGGUAAGGUUGGCUUUCACCUUCUGGAGGCUGAAGAGAUAACUGGGAACAGAAUCAGUGAAGCCAGGGACUAUGGGUACAAGUCUCCAAAGCUGACAUUUUAGACGUGAGUCUGCCUCAGAGAUCGACAGAGAGGUGAGGAGAACAGAAGAGCCAGAGGAUGGGGAGGAACACUGUGAAAUGCUGUCUUUGGGACAAGACAUGUCGAUUGCACUCAUGAACUCUCUGCAGCUGUGCCUCCCUGCACAAACUCAAGUCAGCAUUCCAACAGAUACAGAACAGAAUGGAAUCACAAACGGAGUUCAUCCUGAAGCGACUUCCAGGAAACACAUCUCAUGUCAAGAAUAGACAUCACCCCACGGUAACAAGUUGGAAAAAGAUUUUCCAAGCAAAUGGACUUAAGAAGCAAGCCGGUGCAGCCAUUUUAAUAUCUGACAAAAUAGACUUCAAACCAAAACUAGUCAGAAGAGAUAGAGAAGGACACUACAUACUCAUCAAAUAAAGAUCUGCCAAGAG
Molecule: long non-coding RNA, 1089 nt
Organism: Apodemus sylvaticus (European woodmouse)
Lineage: Eukaryota; Metazoa; Chordata; Mammalia; Rodentia; Muridae
Exons: 4
Source: RefSeq, a predicted model, not a curated record